Molecule: unclassified non-coding RNA, 292 nt
Filed under: plant metagenome
Description: partial contains small subunit ribosomal RNA, internal transcribed spacer 1, and 5.8S ribosomal RNA
Source: RNAcentral
UUUCCGUAGGUGAACCUGCGGAAGGACCAUUAUUGAAUAAACCUGAUGUGGUUGUAGCUGGCCCUUUCGGGAGCAUGUGCACACCCGUCGUCUUUAUCUUUCCACCUGUGCACCUUUUGUAGACCUGGAUGUAACACUUUCCGAGGCAACUCGGUCGGGAGGAAUGCUGUCAGCUUUCCUUGAAUGUCCAGGCCUAUGUUUUCAUAUACCCCAAAGAAUGUAACAGAAUGUAUUAUUGGGCCUUGUGCCUAUAAACUAUAUACAACUUUCAGCAACGGAUCUCUUGGCUCUC